GACGAACGCUGGCGGCGUGCCUAAUACAUGCAAGUCGAACGCAUUUUCUUUCACCGUAGCUUGCUACACCGAAAGAAAAUGAGUGGCGAACGGGUGAGUAGCACGUGGGUAACCUGCCCAUCAGCGGGGGAUAACACUUGGAAACAGGUGCUAAUACCGCAUAAUUCCAUUUACUGCAUGGUAGAUGGAUGAAGGGCGCUUUUGCGUCACUGAUGGAUGGACCCGCGGUGCAUUAGCUAGUUGGUGGGGUAACGGCCUACCAAGGCUGCGAUGCAUAGCCGACCUGAGAGGGUGAUCGGCCACACUGGGACUGAGACACGGCCCAGACUCCUACGGGAGGCAGCAGUAGGGAAUCUUCGGCAAUGGACGCAAGUCUGACCGAGCAACGCCGCGUGAGUGAAGAAGGUUUUCGGAUCGUAAAACUCUGUUGUUAGAAAAGAACAAGGAUGAGAGUGGAAAGUUCAUCCCUUGACGGUAUCUAACCAGAAAGCCACGGCUAACUACGUG
Molecule: ribosomal RNA, 507 nt
Filed under: uncultured bacterium
Lineage: Bacteria
Description: partial 16S ribosomal RNA
Rfam family: Bacterial small subunit ribosomal RNA
Source: RNAcentral